GAGUCUAGGCAACUCCAUGCUCACUUCCACAAAUACUUGCAGUUGCUAAAUAAGGAGCCUCACUUUCCUAGACCAAGUGGUGUGCAUCCCCCUCCCUCUUGCCACGGAAACCCAUCUACUGCAUCCCGACCUCAGCAGUUUUGAACUACAACUCUGGAAUUGUUAGCUCACAACGCAGAGCUGGAAAAGGCCUCAGAAGUCAUCUACCCAACUGUGCCAUUUCACAGAUGGGAAAACUGCGGUCUAGAGGGGUGGCGGCUCGCCCAGAACUGUCUCCAACUGGAAGGAAGGAAAUCUAGUCCAAUCCUCUCAUCCUACAGAAUUCACAGAGUGCCAGAACUGGAAGGGACCUCAGAGAACAGAAGUUCAAGUCCUGUUUCCCAGAUAAGGACACCAAGACCCAGAGGGGAAAUGACUCAGCCAACAACACGCACCCUUUGGAGGCCAGCAGGGCCACUUAAGUAUUGCUCCACCAGAGACCAGAACUGUGGGCCAGACCACUCUGGCCAGAGCCUCCCAGAGCCUCUGGGAUCCUGCCCAUGGAUCUGAGGAUUUCCACCCCAGGAGAAAUUCUGGGUGAGAGUUUGGAGGCACUGUGCUGGGAGGAGACAUGUGGUUUCUGAGCUCAAGAAGGUUACAGUUUACAGGAAGAGAUGGACACUGAACCAAUAAUACCACAAAUAGAUGGAUAUUUACAAAUUUUUUAAAGAUUUUAUUUUUUUUCCUUUUUCUCCCCAAAGCCCCC
This 745-nucleotide long non-coding RNA is filed under the name Equus caballus (horse). RNAcentral's name for it is "lncRNA (ENSECAG00000030996.3)". Lineage: Eukaryota; Metazoa; Chordata; Mammalia; Perissodactyla; Equidae. The record is from RNAcentral.